Molecule: ribosomal RNA, 855 nt
Filed under: uncultured archaeon
Lineage: Archaea
Description: bacterial SSU rRNA
Rfam family: Archaeal small subunit ribosomal RNA
Source: RNAcentral
UUCCGGUUGAUCCCGCCGGAGGCCACUGCUAUCGGGGUCCGACUAAGCCAUGCGAGUCAAGGGGGUGUCCCUCUGGGACACCACCGGCGGACGGCUCAGUAACACGUCGGUAACCUACCCUCGGGAGGGGGAUAACCCCGGGAAACUGGGGCUAAUCCCCCAUAGGCCUGAGGUACUGGAAGGUCCUCAGGCCGAAAGGGGCUUUUGCCCGCCCGAGGAUGGGCCGGCGGCCGAUUAGGUAGUUGGUGGGGUAACGGCCCACCAAGCCGAAGAUCGGUACGGGCUGUGAGAGCAGGAGCCCGGAGAUGGACACUGAGACACGGGUCCAGGCCCUACGGGGCGCAGCAGGCGCGAAACCUCCGCAAUGCGGGAAACCGCGACGGGGGGACCCCGAGUGCCGUGGCACCGCCACGGCUUUUCCGGAGUGUAAAAAGCUCCGGGAAUAAGGGCUGGGCAAGGCCGGUGGCAGCCGCCGCGGUAAUACCGGCGGCCCGAGUGGUGGCCGCUAUUAUUGGGCCUAAAGCGUCCGUAGCCGGGCCCGUAAGUCCCUGGCGAAAUCCCACGGCUCAACCGUGGGGCUUGCUGGGGAUACUGCGGGCCUUGGGACCGGGAGAGGCGGGGGGUACCCCUGGGGUAGGGGUGAAAUCCUAUAAUCCCAGGGGGACCGCCAGUGGGCGAGGCGCCCCGCUGGAACGGGUCCGACGGUGAGGGACGAAAGCCAGGGGAGCAAACCGGAAUAGAUACCCGGGUAGUCCUGGCUGUAAAGGAUGCGGGCUAGGUGUCGGGUGAGCUUCGAGCUCGCCCGGUGCCGUAGGGAAGCCGUUAAGCCCGCCGCUGGGGAGUACGGCCGCAAGC